Molecule: ribosomal RNA, 406 nt
Filed under: uncultured bacterium
Lineage: Bacteria
Description: partial 16S ribosomal RNA
Rfam family: Bacterial small subunit ribosomal RNA
Source: RNAcentral
GAUGAACGCUAGCUACAGGCUUAACACAUGCAAGUCGAGGGACCGGCGCACGGGGGAGUAACACGUAUCCAACCUGCCCUUUACUCGGGGAUAGCCUUUCGAAAGAAAGAUUAAUACCCGAUGUAAAGGAUGGGGAUGCGUUCCAUUAGGUUGUUGGUGAGGUAACGGCUCACCAAGCCUUAGAUGGAUAGGGGUUCUGAGAGGAAGGUCCCCCCCAUUGGACCUGAGACACGGUCCAAACUCCUACGGGAGGGAGCCGUGAGGAAUAUUGGUCAAUGUGCGUUAGCCUGAACCAGCCAAGUAGCGGGAAGGAUGAAGGCUUUUGGAUCGUAAAUUUCUUUUAUAUAAGAAUAUGUAUUAUAUGAAUAAGGAUCGGCUAACUCCGUGCCAGCAGCCGCGGUAAUAC